RNAcentral lists this ribosomal RNA (497 nucleotides) under uncultured bacterium. Its description in RNAcentral is "partial 16S ribosomal RNA". It matches the Rfam family "Bacterial small subunit ribosomal RNA", at positions 28 to 507 of the family's 1533-position model. The record is from RNAcentral.
GACGAACGCUGGCGGCGUGCCUAAUACAUGCAAGUCGAGCGAUGAAGAUUGGUGCUUGCACCAAUUUGAAGAGCAGCGAACGGGUGAGUAACGCGUGGGGAAUCUGCCUUUGAGCGGGGGACAACAUUUGGAAACGAAUGCUAAUACCGCAUAACAACUUUAAACAUAAGUUUCAAGUUUGAAAGAUGCAAUUGCAUCACUCAAAGAUGAUCUCGCGUUGUAUUAGCUAGUUGGUGAGGUAAAGGCUCACCAAGGCGAUGAUACAUAGACGACCUGAGAGGGUGGUCGGCCACAUUGGGACUGAGACACGGCCCAAACUCCUACAGGAGGCAGCAGUAGGGAAUCUUCGGCAAUGGGCGGAAGUCUGACCGAGCAACGCCGCGUGAGGGAAGAAGGUUUUCGGAUCGGAAAACUCUGUUGGUAGGGAAGAACGUUGGUGAGAGUGGAAAGCUCAUCAAGUGACGGUAACUACCCAGAAAGGGACGGCUAACUACGUG